GUAACCCGGAUGCGCGGUCAUGUUGGAGGCACUCGAUGUAAACACUGCGCUGUAAUGCAUGUAAACUCUGCGCUGGAUAAACGAAAACGCUGCGAUGGAUAAAGGUCAUAAACCCAAGAAAAGCUUGUCAAAAGGCGUUAUAGAUGCAAAGGCAUACAGGGAAGGACUUGGACCGGGCGAAAAAGCACGAUAUUUGAGGAAGUUAGAUUUGAUUGGUGGUGCAGAUCCCUACGAGUUGGCUCCCUCGUCUUGGAUCAAUGACGACCCGGAGAGUCUUCCGUCUGUUUGUUAUCCUGACAUCGUCAACUACCUGGUUUUCUCGCCAAGCCCAUACACAGCGGAAGACCUUAAAGCGUACAAAAGUUUGGAGGCCUAUAACCAGAUGGUGUGUGGAUGGGUGAGGGAGAUUCAAUACCAAGUCAUCGACGACAGAUGUGUUGCGAAGGCCAAAGUUCUCCAUUCUCAAUCAAUCCGAGAAACACCCCUGGAACCCUGGAUAAUCGCUGAGAAGUCUGGUCGGAUACUUGGAGCCCACUGCACGUGUAUGGCUGGCCUCGGAGAGACGUGCACACAUGUUGCUGCAUUAUUGUUUCUCAUAGAAGAAACAGUGAAUUUGAGGGACUCAGACAGUGACGCAAGAGAAGGCGUAUUGGCUGUUACCUACUGCACUGUCUAAGGUGGAAUACAGGGAAUGCCGGAAGAUUGACUUCACUGUAACCAAGAGGUCUCAAGUAAAAGAGCUGGCAGGAUGAAAUGUGCUGCUCUUGGACAGCCACUUGAGGACCCAAGUGAUACUUCCACUUCUUCUACUGUUACAGUUGGGAAACCGCAACAGCCAACCAGUGAUGAACUGUCAUCAUUAUUCAGUGCUCUUAGCGCGACUGGAUCAAAGUCUGCUAUUUUGUCCCUGAUUGAGCCUUACUCUGACAGUUUUGUUCCAAAAUCAAUUGGAGAAAAUUUACCUCUUGUGUUGACGGAAUUGCGAAAAGACGAAGCAGUUCACAUGGACUAUAGUGAGCUAUAGUGAUUGUCCACAUGCAAAGAUGUUGAAAUUUCUGUUUCAGAGGAGCAAGCAAAGGCAGUUGAGGCCGCUACAAGGGAUCAAGCUUCCUCUAAACUGUGGUUUAGAUUUCGCGCUGGUCGAAUCACAGCAUCUAAAAUGAAAACUGCAUGUUGCACUGAUCCAAAACAGCCAGCUCAGAGCUUAAUCAAAAGUGUAUGCUAUCCUGAGUCAUACAGAUUCACAUCAAAAGCCACUACCUGGGGAUGUAAUCAUGAGAAAUUUGCACGUGAUAUGUUUAUAGAUGUACAUAAGGAAUCUCAUGAAAAUGUUAAAGUACACGACACAGGUUUUUUCAUAAAUCCAAGUGUGCCAUUCUUGGGUGCUUCUCCCGAUGGCCUUGUUUCUUGUGA
This is a long non-coding RNA of Gadus morhua (Atlantic cod), 1413 nucleotides long. RefSeq lists it as uncharacterized. The transcript is spliced from 2 exons. The record is from RefSeq and is a predicted model, not a curated record. NCBI's taxonomy places the organism in Eukaryota, Metazoa, Chordata, Actinopteri, Gadiformes, Gadidae.